GCGCCCGUAGCUCAGCUGGAUAGAGCAGCGGAUUUCUAAUCCGCAGGUCGCAGGUUCGAGCCCUGCCGGGCGUGCCA
This 77-nucleotide transfer RNA is filed under the name bacterium. RNAcentral's name for it is "tRNA-Arg". It matches the Rfam family "tRNA". Rfam says of the family: Transfer RNA (tRNA) molecules are approximately 80 nucleotides in length. Their secondary structure includes four short double-helical elements and three loops (D, anti-codon, and T loops). The record is from RNAcentral. RNAcentral also lists the same sequence under 2 other names.